This 116-nucleotide ribosomal RNA is filed under the name Morganella morganii. Lineage: Bacteria; Pseudomonadati; Pseudomonadota; Gammaproteobacteria; Enterobacterales; Morganellaceae. The record is from RNAcentral.
UGGCGGCCGUAGCGCGGUGGUCCCACCUGACCCCAUGCCGAACUCAGAAGUGAAACGCCGUAGCGCCGAUGGUAGUGUGGGGGUCUCCCCAUGUGAGAGUAGGGAACCGCCAGGUU